This is a long non-coding RNA of Mauremys reevesii (Reeves's turtle), 1500 nucleotides long. RefSeq lists it as uncharacterized. The record is from RefSeq and is a predicted model, not a curated record. The transcript is spliced from 3 exons. NCBI's taxonomy places the organism in Eukaryota, Metazoa, Chordata, Testudines, Geoemydidae.
UCAUUAUUGUGUGCACUGAAGACCAAGUGGUUGCCCUGCAGAUGUCCUGGAUGGGGACUUGCGCUAGGAAGGCUGCUGAGGACGCUUGAGCUCUGGUUGAGUAGGCCUUCAAUAUAGGUGGUGGUUCGGCCCAGGGUAACUCAUAACAGAACCGGAUACAGGAGGUGAUCCAGUUUGAGAACUUCUGGGAGGAUACCGGGAGGCCUUUCAUCCUGUCCACUCUCGUGAUGAAGAAUUGGGUUGACCUGCAGAAGGGCUUGGUGCGCUCCAAGUAGAACACUGGGUGCCUUGGUCAUUAAAGGCCCAGUUUGCUGCAGGUGGAAUGCACCAGAUCGAGGCUCCUUUGCACCUGCUCUGGAGACCUGCCCUUGAUGAGAGAGUCAUUGAGAUACUGGAAGAUCUGGACUCCUUGAUGAGACAGUCAUUGAGAUACGGGAAGAUCUGGACUCCUUGACGUCUCAGAUCCUUGAUGGGGCUGCCAUGGUCUUGGCAGCAGUCGGAAGGGCCUUCUGGCUGAUUGCGACAUGUGCAUGCCCAACGAGUGAAGAGUAGCCCUAGUGUCCUUCAAGCCAUGCAGCCUGGCAUCCAUUUGUGUGAAGAAAAGACAGACUCCAUCAAAAGGGAGGUCCUGAAUCGAGGUCUGCAUCUCCUGGGAGAAGCCUGGCAUUUGAAGUCAGGAGCUGUGUUGCAUGGCCACUGCUGAGGUGAUCUUCUAGCUGCUGAGUCCGCCACGUCCCAUGCCAUCUUGCAGGGAGCAUCUGGCCGCCAUAAUACCCUCCUCUACACCAGGAUGCCGAACUCUUGGGUCAGACCCUGAAGGAGGGAUUCCUGGAACUUUUUGAGACCAUCCCAGAGAUUGAAACUAUCUGCCAAACAUGGCCUGAUGGUUUGCCACCCGGAGAAUUGCAGGCUGGCGGUUGAAUAAACUUUUCUCCCAAAUAAAUUGAGCCUCUUGGCCUCUGUUUCUAGGAGUCAAGGAGGUGUGACCCUGUUUGUCCUCGUUGGCCGCAGACACAAACAGCUAGCCCGGGGGUGGGUGAGUAUAAAGGUAUUUAAAAUCUUUGGCUGGAACGAAAUACUUUUUCUUGGCCCAUUUCGAGGUGGAAGGAAUAGAGGAGGGGGCCUGCCACAGGACCUUGGCUACCUUGACAACCCCUUCAUGCAUGCGCAGGGAGACAUGAGUGGGCAUAGAGGCAGAGAGGAUAUUGUAGAGACUGUCCUCCUGCUCUGCCAUCUCCUGCAUCUCAAGUCCCAAGUUCUCAGCCACGCACCAGAGAAAGGCUUGAUGCUUCCUGAAGUCAUCCUAGGGGCUAGCUCUCAAAGCUAACUCCCGUGACUGCCUCAUCCGGGGAUGAUAAGGAAGAUUGGACCACUGGGGGAAAUUUAGCCAGAUCUGUUUAGCAGAUCUGGCAUGUAAAUACCUUGCAGUGCCGGCUACAAAAGUGCCAUGCAAAUGUCUGUUCUCAGGUGACACUGUAAAUAAGAAGCAGGCAGCAUUAU